CCUACGGGCGGCAGCAGUGGGGAAUUUUGGACAAUGGGCGCAAGCCUGAUCCAGCCAUUCCGCGUGAGUGAAGAAGGCCUUCGGGUUGUAAAGCUCUUUCGCAAGGGAAGAAAACUUAUCCUCUCACAUAGGAUGAGGUUGACGGUACCUUGAUAAGCAGCACCGGCUAACUACGUGCCAGCAGCCGCGGUAAUACGUAGGGUGCGAGCGUUAGUCGGAAUUACUGGGCGUAAAGCGUGCGCAGUCUGUUGUGAAAUCCCCGAGCUCAACUUGGGAACUGCGGUUGAAACUACAAGACUAGAAUAGGUCAGAGGGGGGUAGAAUUCCACGUGUAGCAGUGAAAUGCGUAGAUGUGGAGGAAUAUCAAUGGCGAAGGCAGCCCCCUGGGAUCAUAUUGACGCUCAUGCACGAAAGCGUGGGGAGCAAACAGGAUUAGAUACCCGUGUAGUC
This 450-nucleotide ribosomal RNA is filed under the name uncultured bacterium. Its description in RNAcentral is "partial 16S ribosomal RNA". It matches the Rfam family "Bacterial small subunit ribosomal RNA", at positions 338 to 795 of the family's 1533-position model. The record is from RNAcentral.